Long non-coding RNA from Piliocolobus tephrosceles (Ugandan red Colobus), 453 nucleotides. RefSeq lists it as uncharacterized. The record is from RefSeq and is a predicted model, not a curated record. Lineage: Eukaryota; Metazoa; Chordata; Mammalia; Primates; Cercopithecidae. The transcript has 3 exons.
GCGGGGGCGCGACGGCCGGGGUGGGGGCGCUGCUGCUGCGGGGGCAGGCGGCGGCAGGGGCGGCGGCGGCGGCGGAGGUGGCCCGCUCCAGCCAUGCCGAAUAAAAACAAGAAGGAGAAAGAAUCACCAAAAGCAGGGAAGAGUGGAAAAAGUUCAAAAGAAGGACAAGACACAGUAGAAUCAGAGUGCUACUGUCUAAGAGCUGGAGCUACAGAGCUUGAAAUUACCACUGAAAAAUACUGAAAUGUUGGGCCCUUCACUGCUUCCUCAUAAGGAUACCAGAGGCAACAUGGCAUAUUAAGCUUGACUCUUGGCAGAUCACUGUGUUAAUUGUUUUUCAGGAAUACAAACUGGGACACUUCUGUUCAUUUGACCUUUGAGUUGACCCUUAACUUUUUUAUUAUUUUUUUUUUCCCCUCAGUCUUCAGCUGACUGCUUCACUUCUAGUUCCAC